GACCCAGCCGAAGCGCGCGCACACCAGCGGGGACAGCGCCGCCGGCUUGCCCGCCCACCUCAGGGGGUCUGCCCGUCAAGGAGACACCACAGAUCCAGGUUCCCUGGCAAGGGUCACAGCUCCCAGGGUUCCUGACAAGGGUCACAGCUCCCAGGGUGCCUGACAAGGGUCACAGCUCCCAGGUUCCCUGACAAGGGUCACAGCUCCCAGGGUCCCUGACAAGGGUCACAGCUCCCAGGUUCCCGACAAGGGUCACAGCUCCCAGGGUUCCUGACAAGGGUCACAGCUCCCAGGGUUCCUGACAAGGGUCACAGCUCCCAGGGUCCCUGGCAAGGGUCACAGCUCCCAGGGUUCCUGACAAGGGUCACAGCUCCCAGGUUCCUGACAAGGGUCACAGCUCCCAGGUUCCCUGACAAGGGUCACAGCUCCCAGGUUCCCUGACAAGGGUCACAGCUCCCAGGGUUCCUGACAAGGGUCACAGCUCCCAGGUUCCCUGACAAGGGUCACAGCUCCCAGGGUUCCUGACAAGGGUCACAGCUCCCAGGUUCCCUGACAAGGGUCACAGCUCCCAGGGUUCCUGACAAGGGUCACAGCUCCCAGGGUCCCUGACAAGGGUCACAGCUCCCAGGGUUCCUGACAAGGGUCACAGCUCCCAGGGUUCCUGACAAGCGUCACAGCUCCCAGGGUUUCUGGGAUGGGGAAACAUUCCCAGGGAGGGAGAGCUUGGGGCGGGUGGGACAGGGACAGGGAGCAGGGCAGGAACGCAGGGAACUGUGGGAGCUGGCCUGGGGGAGUUUAGGAGAAGGCUGGAUUUAGGAAAAGGCUGGAUUUAGGAAAAGGCUGGAUUUAGGAAAAAGGCCGGAUUUAGGAAAAGCGGAUUUAGGAAAAAGGCCGGAUUUAGGAAAAGGUUAGAUUUAGGAAAAGCUUGGAUUUAGGAAAAGGCUGGAUUUAGGAAAAAGGCUGGAUUUAGGAAGAGGCUGGAUUUAGGAAGAGGCUGGAUUUGAGGAAGAGGAUGGAUUUAGGAAGAGGCUGGAUUUAGGAAGAGGCUGGAUUUAGGAAGAGGCUGGAUUUAGGAAGAGGCUGGAUUUAGGAAGAGGCUGGAUUUCAGGAAAAGGUUUGGUUUAGGCAAAGGCUGGAUUUCAGGGAAAGGCUGGAUUUCAAAAAAAGUUGCAUUUCAGGGAAAGGCAUGAUUUGAGGAAGAGGCUGGAUUUGAGGAAGAGGCUGGAUUUAGGAAAAGUUUGGAUUAUUUAGGAAAAGCUUAUAGAAAAAUUUGAAAUUUUAGGAAAAGGCUGGAUUUCAGGAAAAGGCAGGAUUUAGAAAAAAGCUGGAUUUUAGGAAAGGCUCUUCCCCAGAGGGUGCUGGGGCACUGAGUCUUCCCCAGGGAAUGGUCACAGCUCCAAGGCUCCAGGAGCCUUUGGACAGCUCUCAGGGACAGGGAGGAAUUUUGGGAUAACCCUGCACGGCCAGGAAUUGAAUCAAUGAUUCCACUGGCUCUUCACCCACAAUUCCAAGCUGGAAUUCCCAGCAUCCCAAAGGAUAUGGUGAAU
Serinus canaria (Common canary) is the source of this 1547-nucleotide long non-coding RNA. RefSeq lists it as uncharacterized. The record is from RefSeq and is a predicted model, not a curated record. The transcript has 3 exons. Lineage: Eukaryota; Metazoa; Chordata; Aves; Passeriformes; Fringillidae.